UACGUAGGGGGCUAGCGUUGUCCGGAAUCAUUGGGCGUAAAGCGCGUGUAGGCGGUCCGGCAAGUCCGCUGUGAAAGUCGGGGGCUCAACCCUCGAAAGCCGGUGGAAACUGUCGGGCUAGAGUGCGGAAGAGGCGAGUGGAAUUCCUGGUGUAGCGGUGAAAUGCGCAGAUAUCAGGAGGAACACCAAUUGCGAAGGCAGCUCGCUGGGACGUUACUGACGCUGAGACGCGAAAGCGUGGGGAGCAAACAGG
Molecule: ribosomal RNA, 253 nt
Filed under: uncultured bacterium
Lineage: Bacteria
Description: partial 16S ribosomal RNA
Rfam family: Bacterial small subunit ribosomal RNA
Source: RNAcentral